RNAcentral lists this ribosomal RNA (254 nucleotides) under uncultured bacterium. RNAcentral's name for it is "partial 16S ribosomal RNA". It matches the Rfam family "Bacterial small subunit ribosomal RNA", at positions 524 to 776 of the family's 1533-position model. The record is from RNAcentral.
UACGGAGGGUGCAAGCGUUAUCCGGAAUCACUGGGUUUAAAGGGUGCGUAGGCGGUCUGAUAAGUCAGUUGUGAAAUUCCCCGGCUUAACCGGGUGGACUGCGAUUGAUACUGUUGGACUUGAAUCAGGUUGAGGUAGGCGGAAUGUGACAUGUAGCGGUGAAAUGCUUAGAUAUGUCAUAGAACACCGAUUGCGAAGGCAGCUUGCUGGGCUUAGAUUGACGCUGAGGCACGAAAGCGUGGGGAGCGAACAGG